This 496-nucleotide ribosomal RNA is filed under the name uncultured bacterium. Its description in RNAcentral is "partial 16S ribosomal RNA". It matches the Rfam family "Bacterial small subunit ribosomal RNA", at positions 29 to 507 of the family's 1533-position model. The record is from RNAcentral.
AUGAACGCUGGCGGCGUGCCUAAUACCUGCCAGUCGAGCGAACGGACGAGGGGCUUGCUCCUCUGACGUUAGCGGCGGACGGGUGAGUAACACGUGGAUAACCUACCUAUAAGACUGGGAUAACUUCGGGAAACCGGAGCUAAUACCGGAUAAUAUAUUGAACCGCAUGGUUCAAUAGUGAAAGACGGUUUUGCUGUCACUUAUAGAUGGAUCCGCGCCGCAUUAGCUAGUUGGUAAGGUAACGGCUCACCAAGGCAACGAUGCGUAGCCGACCUGAGAGGGUGAUCGGCCACACUGGAACUGAGACACGGUCCAGACUCCUACGGGAGGCAGCAGUAGGGAAUCUUCCGCAAUGGGCGAAAGCCUGACGGAGCAACGCCGCGUGAGUGAUGAAGGUCUUCGGAUCGUAAAACUCUGUUAUUAGGGAAGAACAAAUGUGUAAGUAACUAUGCACGUCUUGACGGUACCUAAUCAGAAAGCCACGGCUAACUACGUG